Molecule: ribosomal RNA, 499 nt
Filed under: uncultured bacterium
Lineage: Bacteria
Description: partial 16S ribosomal RNA
Rfam family: Bacterial small subunit ribosomal RNA
Source: RNAcentral
GACGAACGCUGGCGGCGUGCCUAAUACAUGCAAGUCGAGCGGACUGAAUGGGAGCUUGCUCUUGUUCGGUCAGCGGCGGACGGGUGAGUAACACGUGGGCAACCUGCCCGCAAGACCGGGAUAACUCCGGGAAACCGGAGCUAAUACCGGAUAACACCGAAGACCGCAUGGUCUUUGGUUGAAAGGCGGCGCAAGCUGCCACUUGCGGAUGGGCCCGCGGCGCAUUAGCUAGUUGGUGAGGUAACGGCUCACCAAGGCGACGAUGCGUAGCCGGCCUGAGAGGGUGACCGGCCACACUGGGACUGAGACACGGCCCAGACUCCUACGGGAGGCAGCAGUAGGGAAUCUUCCGCAAUGGGCGAAAGCCUGACGGAGCGACGCCGCGUGAGCGAAGAAGGCCUUCGGGUCGUAAAGCUCUGUUGUGAGGGACGAAGGAGCGCCGUUUGAAGAAGGCGGCGCGGUGACGGUACCUCAAGAGGAAGCCCCGGCUAACUACGUG